RNAcentral lists this non-coding RNA (90 nucleotides) under Neofamilia massiliensis. RNAcentral describes it as "THF riboswitch". It matches the Rfam family "THF (Tetrahydrofolate) riboswitch aptamer". From Rfam's summary of the family: THF riboswitch presents a pseudoknot that joins P1-P2 and the loop of P3 and two THF binding. The record is from RNAcentral. Lineage: Bacteria; Bacillati; Bacillota; Clostridia; Eubacteriales.
CAGGGUAGGUACUUGGCGUCAAGUGACUGAGAAUGGGACGUUGUCUCAGUACGAAAAAUUAUUUUACGAUCAAGUAACCGCGUUCACUGC